RNAcentral lists this transfer RNA (78 nucleotides) under Streptomyces natalensis ATCC 27448. RNAcentral describes it as "tRNA-Leu". It matches the Rfam family "tRNA". Rfam says of the family: Transfer RNA (tRNA) molecules are approximately 80 nucleotides in length. Their secondary structure includes four short double-helical elements and three loops (D, anti-codon, and T loops). The record is from RNAcentral. Lineage: Bacteria; Bacillati; Actinomycetota; Actinomycetes; Kitasatosporales; Streptomycetaceae.
GCCCGAGUGGCGCAACUGGAAGACGCCGCGGUCUUAAACACCGCUCAGCUGCGGGUUCGACUCCCGUCUCGGGCACCC